Molecule: long non-coding RNA, 877 nt
Organism: Hippocampus comes (tiger tail seahorse)
Lineage: Eukaryota; Metazoa; Chordata; Actinopteri; Syngnathiformes; Syngnathidae
Exons: 4
Source: RefSeq, a predicted model, not a curated record
CUUUAAACUUCACUUUUCCACAAAUCGUGUAUAUAAGCCAUGUUUAGGAAGGGGAGAACACUCAUAGCCUUACUCUACAAGAUCUGAUGUGGAUGGAUGUUACUCAGAGGACGCUACAUUUUUGGAACACUGUCUGGAAAGGUUUUCGGACUCUGCCUUAACUGGAAUAUGGUUUGGGACUAAGUUGAUUUGUCAUGGUUUAUGGAAUUUGUCUAUUUCGUAGACCGUAUCCUGAAUGCUGUUGUCAGGAAUGUUUUUUUUGUUUUUGUUUUUUUUUUUAACUAAAAGAUAUGGAUUGGGUUAAUUUAAUGCAUUCAGAUUCAAGCUGUGGUUGAGGACAUUCAUAUUUUCUGUUGACCUUUAAAGGACACAAAAUUUGUGAACUAAUGGCAAGAUGAAUAACACAGGGACAAGCACUGAACGGUGUUGCUCAACCACCUGCGUUGAUCUGGAAUGUAUCCUAAAAGGGUUGGAGUCGCUGUCUCAUUGCAUGGAUCAACUGGCACUUCAAACCCAGCUCAGGCAGUGUGAUCUGAUCGUUUGUGUCGGCCACCCUGACAAGCUGGGACACCUGAAAAUCCGGGAGGCGCCCCAGCAGGCGCCGCAAGCUUCUCCUGGAAACCAUACAGAGGCAAAGGACGAUGUGCAUGUGUGCAUUUCUUCUUCAUACCAGUUAGGAGGACAACCUUGAAGCUACCAUAAAACCACGACACCAAAAGGACGACAUCGAUUUAACGGUAUGGCAAGCCAGGUAUUCCACUUGGGUUCGAAACUGAUCUCUGUUGUGGGAUUCUUUUGACAACUCCCCCCUCUGCUGUUCGUUUUCUGAAAGACAUGGGUGAAAGUGAGUGCAUUGUGACUUACCUGUGCACUUUUU